UAAGCGGAGGAAAAGAAACUAACAAGGAUUCCCCUAGUAACUGCGAGUGAAGCGGGAAAAGCUCAAAUUUAAAAUCUGGCGGUCUUGCGGCCGUCCGAGUUGUAGUUUAGAGAAGUGUUUUCCGCGCUGGACCGUGUACAAGUCUCCUGGAACGGAGCGUCAUAGAGGGUGAGAAUCCCGUCUUUGACACGGACUACCAGUGCUAUGUGAUGCGCUCUCGAAGAGUCGAGUUGUUUGGGAAUGCAGCUCAAAAUGGGUGGUGAAUUCCAUCUAAAGCUAAAUAUUGGCGAGAGACCGAUAGCGAACAAGUACCGUGAGGGAAAGAUGAAAAGCACUUUGGAAAGAGAGUUAAACAGUACGUGAAAUUGUUGAAAGGGAAACGCUUGAAGUCAGUCGCGUCCUUCGAGACUCAACCUUGCCUUCUGGUUUGGUGUACUUCUCGUUGGACGGGCCAGCAUCACUUUCGAUCGUCGGAAAAGGGCAGGGGAAAGGUGGCACUCUUCGGGUGUGUUAUAGUCCCUUGUCGUAUACGAUGGUUGGGAGUGAGGAACUCAGCGCGCCUUAUGGUGGGGGCUUCGGCUUACCUUCGCGCUUAGGAUGCUGGCAUAAUGGCUUUAAACGACCCGUCUUGAAACACGGACCAAGGAGUCUAACAUGCCUGCGAGUGUUCGGGUGGAAAACCCGUGCGCGUAGUGAAAGCGAAAGUUGGGACCUCUGUCGUGGAGGGCACCGACGCCCGGACCAGAACUUCUGUGACGGAUCUGCGGUAGAGCAUGUAUGUUGGGACCCGAAAGAUGGUGAACUAUGCCUGAAUAGGGUGAAGCCAGAGGAAACUCUGGUGGAGGCUCGUAGCGAUUCUGACGUGCAAAUCGAUCGUCAAAUUUGGGUAUAGGGGCGAAAGACUAAUCGAACCAUC
This 916-nucleotide ribosomal RNA is filed under the name Gloeocystidiellum clavuligerum. Its description in RNAcentral is "eukaryotic LSU rRNA". It matches the Rfam family "Eukaryotic large subunit ribosomal RNA", at positions 47 to 944 of the family's 3401-position model. Lineage: Eukaryota; Fungi; Basidiomycota; Agaricomycetes; Russulales; Gloeocystidiellaceae. The record is from RNAcentral.